GAAUGCAAUCAUAUCAGCACUAAAGCACCAAAUCCCAUCAGAACUUCGCAGUUUAACGUGUUUGGACGAGAGUAGCAUUGGGAUGGGCAACCUCGAUCCUGGAAAGUCCUUGUGUUGCAUCCU
RNAcentral lists this ribosomal RNA (123 nucleotides) under Zostera marina. The record is from RNAcentral. Lineage: Eukaryota; Viridiplantae; Streptophyta; Magnoliopsida; Alismatales; Zosteraceae.